Molecule: ribosomal RNA, 465 nt
Filed under: uncultured Selenomonas sp.
Lineage: Bacteria; Bacillati; Bacillota; Negativicutes; Selenomonadales; Selenomonadaceae
Description: bacterial SSU rRNA
Rfam family: Bacterial small subunit ribosomal RNA
Source: RNAcentral
CCUACGGGAGGCAGCAGUGGGGAAUCUUCCGCAAUGGGCGCAAGCCUGACGGAGCAACGCCGCGUGAGUGAAGAAGGUCUUCGGAUCGUAAAGCUCUGUUGAAGGGGACGAACGUAUAUAGUGCGAAUAGUGCUGUGUAAUGACGGUACCUUUUGAGGAAGCCACGGCUAACUACGUGCCAGCAGCCGCGGUAAUACGUAGGUGGCGAGCGUUGUCCGGAAUCAUUGGGCGUAAAGGGAGCGCAGGCGGCCAUGUAAGUCUUGCUUAAAAGUUCGGGGCUCAACCCCGUGAUGGGCAAGAAACUAUAUGGCUUGAGUGCAGGAGAGGAAAGCGGAAUUCCCAGUGUAGCGGUGAAAUGCGUAGAUAUUGGGAGGAACACCAGUGGCGAAGGCGGCUUUCUGGACUGCAACUGACGCUGAGGCUCGAAAGCCAGGGGAGCGAACGGGAUUAGAUACCCUGGUAGUC